Molecule: ribosomal RNA, 663 nt
Filed under: Staphylococcus haemolyticus
Lineage: Bacteria; Bacillati; Bacillota; Bacilli; Caryophanales; Staphylococcaceae
Description: bacterial SSU rRNA
Rfam family: Bacterial small subunit ribosomal RNA
Source: RNAcentral
AGGGCUUGCUCCUUUGACGUUAGCGGCGGACGGGUGAGUAACACGUGGGUAACCUACCUAUAAGACUGGGAUAACUUCGGGAAACCGGAGCUAAUACCGGAUAAUAUUUCGAACCGCAUGGUUCGAUAGUGAAAGAUGGUUUUGCUAUCACUUAUAGAUGGACCCGCGCCGUAUUAGCUAGUUGGUAAGGUAACGGCUUACCAAGGCGACGAUACGUAGCCGACCUGAGAGGGUGAUCGGCCACACUGGAACUGAGACACGGUCCAGACUCCUACGGGAGGCAGCAGUAGGGAAUCUUCCGCAAUGGGCGAAAGCCUGACGGAGCAACGCCGCGUGAGUGAUGAAGGUCUUCGGAUCGUAAAACUCUGUUAUUAGGGAAGAACAUACGUGUAAGUAACUAUGCACGUCUUGACGGUACCUAAUCAGAAAGCCACGGCUAACUACGUGCCAGCAGCCGCGGUAAUACGUAGGUGGCAAGCGUUAUCCGGAAUUAUUGGGCGUAAAGCGCGCGUAGGCGGUUUUUUAAGUCUGAUGUGAAAGCCCACGGUUCAACCGGGAGGGUCAUUUGGAAACUGGAAAACUUGAUGCAGAAGAGGAAAGUGGAAUUCAUGUGUAGCGGUGAAAUGCGCAGAGAUAUGGAGGAAACACCAGUGGGCGGAAGGC